GAUGAACGCUCGCUACAGGCUUAACACAUGCAAGUCGAGGGGAAACGCCAUCGCAAGCUUGCUUUUGAUGGGCGUCGACCGGCGCACGGGUGAGUAACGCGUAUCCAACCUGCCCAUCACUUGGGAAUAACCUUGCGAAAGUAAGACUAAUACCCAAUGAUAUCCCACGAAGGCAUCGGAAUGGGAUUAAAGAUUUAUCGGUGAUGGAUGGGGAUGCGUCUGAUUAGCUUGUUGGCGGGGUAACGGCCCACCAAGGCAACGAUCAGUAGGGGUUCUGAGAGGAAGGUCCCCCACAUUGGAACUGAGACACGGUCCAAACUCCUACGGGAGGCAGCAGUGAGGAAUAUUGGUCAAUGGGCGAGAGCCUGAACCAGCCAAGUAGCGUGCAGGAAGACGGCCCUAUGGGUUGUAAACUGCUUUUAUAAGGGAAUAAAGUGGGUCACGUGUGACUUUUUGCAUGUACCUUAUGAAUAAGGACCGGCUAAUUCCGUG
This 492-nucleotide ribosomal RNA is filed under the name uncultured bacterium. Its description in RNAcentral is "partial 16S ribosomal RNA". It matches the Rfam family "Bacterial small subunit ribosomal RNA", at positions 28 to 507 of the family's 1533-position model. The record is from RNAcentral.